UACGUAGGGUCCAAGCGUUAUCCGGAAUCACUGGGCGUAAAGCGUGCGUAGGUGGCGUGUUAAGUGUGAUGUUAAAUCGUGUGGCUCAACCAUAUCGAUGUGUCGCAUACUGGCAUGCUAGAGGACAGCAGAGGCAAGUGGAAUUUGUAGUGUAGCAGUGAAAUGCGUAGAUAUUACAAGGAACACCAAUGCGAAGGCAGCUUGCUGGGCUACUCCUGACACUGAGGUACGAAAAGCGUGGGGGAGCGAACAGG
This 254-nucleotide ribosomal RNA is filed under the name uncultured bacterium. RNAcentral describes it as "partial 16S ribosomal RNA". It matches the Rfam family "Bacterial small subunit ribosomal RNA", at positions 524 to 776 of the family's 1533-position model. The record is from RNAcentral.